CCUACGGGAGGCAGCAGUGGGGAAUAUUGGGCAAUGGAGGAAACUCUGACCCAGCGACGCCGCGUGAGGGAUGAAGGCCUUCGGGUUGUAAACCUCUUUCAGUAGGGAAGAAGCGAAAGUGACGGUACCUACAGAAGAAGCACCGGCUAACUAUGUGCCAGCAGCCGCGGUAAUACAUAGGGUGCAAGCGUUGUCCGGAAUUAUUGGGCGUAAAGAGCUCGUAGGUGGUUCGAUACGUCGGAUGUGAAAAUCAGGGGCUCAACCCCUGACCUGCAUCCGAUACGGUCGAGCUAGAGUUUGGUAGGGGAGACUGGAAUUCCUGGUGUAGCGGUGGAAUGCGCAGAUAUCAGGAGGAACACCGAUGGCGAAGGCAGGUCUCUGGGCCAAUACUGACACUGAGGAGCGAAAGCGUGGGGAGCGAACAGGAUUAGAUACCCUGGUAGUCCACGCCGUAAACGGUGGGCGCUAGUUGUGCGAACCUUCCACGGUUUGUGCGACGCNGCUACGCAUAGACGCCCGCCGUCGGGAGGUACGAGUCGCGAAGAAGUUAAACGUAACGUAAAGGUAAGUUAGUUACGGCGUGAGACGUGCCGACGGACGACGACGAGGGAGGAGG
This 616-nucleotide ribosomal RNA is filed under the name uncultured bacterium. RNAcentral describes it as "bacterial SSU rRNA". The stretch from base 1 to 521 matches the Rfam family "Bacterial small subunit ribosomal RNA", at positions 338 to 873 of the family's 1533-position model. The record is from RNAcentral.